GACGAACGCUGGCGGCGUGCCUAAUACAUGCAAGUAGAACGCUGAAGGAGGAGCUUGCUCUUCUGGAUGAGUUGCGAACGGGUGAGUAACGCGUAGGUAACCUGCCUGUUAUCGGGGGAUAACUAUUGGAAACGAUAUCUAAUACCGCAUAACAGUAUAUGUUGCAUGACAUUUACUUAAAAGGUGCAAUUGCAUCACUACCAGAUGGACCUGCGUUGUAUUAGCUAGUUGGUGGGGUAACGGCUCACCAAGGCGACGAUACAUAGCCGACCUGAGAGGGUGAUCGGCCACACUGGGACUGAGACACGGCCCAGCCUCCUCCGGGAGGCAGCAGUAGGGAAUCUUCGGCAAUGGACGGAAGUCUGACCGAGCAACGCCGCGUGAGUGAAGAAGGUUUUCGGAUCGUAAAGCUCUGUUGUAAGAGAAGAACGAGUGUGAGAGUGGAAAGUUCACACUGUGACGGUAUCUUACAAGAAAGGGACGGCUAACUCCGU
This 494-nucleotide ribosomal RNA is filed under the name uncultured bacterium. RNAcentral describes it as "partial 16S ribosomal RNA". It matches the Rfam family "Bacterial small subunit ribosomal RNA", at positions 28 to 506 of the family's 1533-position model. The record is from RNAcentral.